AAAAAAAAAGAAAAUAGCAAUUCAGUAUUCAUGAAGAAUAUAUUCUAUUUCUGAAAACAAAUGCACUAUUUUUUAAAAGUGAACUUCAAAAUUAUUUUACAAGGGAAGAUGUUAAACUGCAUUUUUCUAUUCUGCUUCAUUAAUCAGUUUCUAUCAUCCUCAUAGAGAGGAAGCUUUACCUCCUUAGCUGUGAAAAUGCAAACUCUCAGUCAUUCAUAUUUUAGUCCUUGAAACUGUGAGGAGAUAUUCCAGGUUGCACAAUGGAACUGAAAUAAAACCCUAGCUGAUCAAUUUUAUAACAUGCUGUGUGAUUAGUAUGACCUCUUGUGUUAAACACAGGAAUAUUCAUUUUUUACUUGCAUAAUGCAAGUAGAUGAAAUGUCUGAAAGUUAGUAACAACACUGCUCUUGCCAUUUCUAUAAAUCAACAGGUUAGCAGCGGUGGAGAGGCUUGUAAGUUUUAUAUAUGAAUUAGAAAAAUAAACGCCAUAAUUUCCCCAUAUGGAAUACACCUACCAUAUAUUUUGGUCUACUGACACUUUUAAAGUUCAAUUUUUUCUUCAAAAUUAAGAUUAAAUUGCAGGACAACGCCUCAGUGACUUCUAAAUAAAACAUGCAGAUUUACAAUUUUCUCAAUAAGCCUUUCAUCAUAAACUAGGUCCUGAGGACUUCUGUUAAGGAGAACGCUUAAAAGGUUUAAGCAAACAUUAAGGACACGGCAUGAACACAAAAGGGGUGAUUAAACCUUGGCUUACCUAAAUCUUUAACUAGUCCACAAAACAUCUAUUUUAACAGCAUGCUUGUGCAGGACUUUCAUUUACAGAGUGAUAAAAGCCCAGGUUCCUUUAAGAUUCUCAUUUUCUAAGAUCCAUUUGAUUUGUAUGCGUUUGAAAACACAGGCAAGAUAGAAACAGUGAGAUGGAAUUAUAGCAACUAGUUUUUUUCGAACAAACAAUGGAAGAUUUGAAGCUGUGCCAAACAGCCUGUUCAUUCUUGAAAAUGUCUUUUUUCUUGGUCUUUGGUGCUCAAGCGAACUGAGUGCAAUGGAGAGCAUCCAAAUACACUUCAAUGUAAUUUAAAAACACCAACUGAAGUACUUGGAAAGUGCUUUAUCAUUCACUCAAGAAUGUGUGUGUGGAUUUUUAUGCACAAGUUGCCUGUAUUGGUCACUCUCUAAAUAAUCUAUAUUGUACAACCAUGAUAUUUACUGUAUUAGUGAGGGUUGUUUGUGUGUGAGCAAUAUGUGCUUUAUUUAAAGGUACACCUUGGAAUAAAUCAGUGGAAUUUUAUAGCCGAGUAUAUUUUAAAACUUUGUUAACGCCUCACCCAUAUUUCUAAUCUGCAAGCCAUUCAAGGCUCUAGAGUUUCAGAGGAAACUGGAUGUUGUGUUAGACAUAGAAAUUUUAAGGGCAUAGGCUUUUAUCCUAGAAGGGCUUGGUGAGUUUUGUCUUUAAUGUUAGCGAGAAGUUGAAGAUGUAAAGAAACCUUCCACACUAUCAAAUUUCCUAGUUGAUUUUUCAAGCUGCUAGAACAGUGCUGCCUGACUGGAGAAAAAAAACAACAAACCCAAAACAAAGCCAACAAAACCAAACAAACAGAAACUCUCCAACAAAACAAACCCUCUUGUAAUCUCACCUAGGGGACAGGAAUGGCACACCUGUAACAAGGUAAGUCACUUACCGCGUUCACGAUUGCUCUCUUAAAGACUCUUUCUUUAAGUAAAUGCAGGGACUCUGCCUGGUGCAGACAUUAUUCUGCCACAGGGAGCUGCGGGAAUGAAUUAUUCGGUGACAGUUGGGAGCGGAAGGGGAAGAGGCAGAAUGGUAGCCAGCGACUAGCGCAAGGACUGCACUGUUGCGGGGGGACGC
Strigops habroptila (Kakapo) is the source of this 1867-nucleotide long non-coding RNA. NCBI's taxonomy places the organism in Eukaryota, Metazoa, Chordata, Aves, Psittaciformes, Psittacidae. The record is from Ensembl.